GACGAACCGUGCGAACGUUGUUCGGAAUCACUGGGCUUAAAGGGCGCGUAGGCGGGUUGCCGCGUCCGGGGUGAAAUCCCACGGCUCAACCGUGGGACGGCCCCGGAUACGGGCGGCCUGGAGGGGGGUAGGGGCGGGCGGAACUCUGCGUGGAGCGGUGAAAUGCGUUGAUAUGCAGAGGAACUCCGGUGGCGAAGGCGGCCCGCUGGACCCCAUCUGACGCUGAGGCGCGAAAGCCAGGGGAGCGAACGGG
RNAcentral lists this ribosomal RNA (253 nucleotides) under uncultured bacterium. Its description in RNAcentral is "partial 16S ribosomal RNA". It matches the Rfam family "Bacterial small subunit ribosomal RNA", at positions 524 to 776 of the family's 1533-position model. The record is from RNAcentral.